UUAGUAACGGCGAGUGAAGCGGCAAAAGCUCAAAUUUGAAAUCUGGUACCUUCGGUGCCCGAGUUGUAAUUUGGAGAGGGCAACUUUGGGGCCGUUCCUUGUCUAUGUUCCUUGGAACAGGACGUCAUAGAGGGUGAGAAUCCCGUGUGGCGAGGAGUGCGGUUCUUUGUAAAGUGCCUUCGAAGAGUCGAGUUGUUUGGGAAUGCAGCUCUAAGUGGGUGGUAAAUUCCAUCUAAAGCUAAAUAUUGGCGAGAGACCGAUAGCGAACAAGUACAGUGAUGGAAAGAUGAAAAGAACUUUGAAAAGAGAGUGAAAAAGUACGUGAAAUUGUUGAAAGGGAAGGGCAUUUGAUCAGACAUGGUGUUUUGUGCCCUCUGCUCCUUGUGGGUAGGGGAAUCUCGCAUUUCACUGGGCCAGCAUCAGUUUUGGUGGCAGGAUAAAUCCAUAGGAAUGUAGCUUGCCUCGGUAAGUAUUAUAGCCUGUGGGAAUACUGCCAGCUGGGACUGAGGACUGCGACGUAAGUCAAGGAUGCUGGCAUAAUGGUUAUAUGCCGC
This 554-nucleotide ribosomal RNA is filed under the name Saccharomyces cerevisiae (brewer's yeast). RNAcentral describes it as "partial large subunit ribosomal RNA". It matches the Rfam family "Eukaryotic large subunit ribosomal RNA", at positions 80 to 648 of the family's 3401-position model. The record is from RNAcentral. Lineage: Eukaryota; Fungi; Ascomycota; Saccharomycetes; Saccharomycetales; Saccharomycetaceae.